GUACUUGUUGAUUAUCACUACUACAGAAGGUGGACAUCAUCCGUUUUGAGAGUACAAGAAGAACAAUAGAAGUGACUGCACCAGCUAAAAAUGUUUGCUUGAAUCUUCUAGCCAAAGAGUAGAAUGUAACUGGCAGGAGAGCCAAGAUUGAGAAUGGCCAACCAAGAAUUACCCCAACAGCUGCUACAAUGACAGCCAUAGCAGGUUUUCCAAGAAGAAAUAACCCUGAAGAGAGACUCAUGGCAUACAUUGAGAAUGAACUUGGCAGAAAACUUGUACUAGCAAAGAAACAACCACUGGUUAAGCAUAGCAUUGCAAGCGCAUAGGAAGCUAGACGUU
Molecule: unclassified non-coding RNA, 339 nt
Filed under: Hevea brasiliensis (rubber tree)
Lineage: Eukaryota; Viridiplantae; Streptophyta; Magnoliopsida; Malpighiales; Euphorbiaceae
Source: RNAcentral